This 179-nucleotide small nuclear RNA is filed under the name Erpetoichthys calabaricus (reedfish). RNAcentral describes it as "U2 spliceosomal RNA (ENSECRG00000013373.1)". It matches the Rfam family "U2 spliceosomal RNA". Rfam says of the family: U2 is a small nuclear RNA (snRNA) component of the spliceosome (involved in pre-mRNA splicing). Complementary binding between U2 snRNA (in an area lying towards the 5' end but 3' to hairpin I) and the branchpoint sequence (BPS) of the intron results the bulging out of an unpaired adenosine, on the BPS, which initiates a nucleophilic attack at the intronic 5' splice site, thus starting the first of two transesterification reactions that mediate splicing. Lineage: Eukaryota; Metazoa; Chordata; Cladistia; Polypteriformes; Polypteridae. The record is from Rfam by way of RNAcentral.
AUCGCUUCUCGGCCUUUUGGCUAAGAUCAAGUGUAGUAUCUGUUCUUAUCAGAGUGGAGAACCGCUUCUUCUUGCUAUUUGGAAGUGCAUGCGAUCUUGUUAUCCUUUUGACGACGAUUGAAGCUCUGCUCUCGAAGUCAGUAAGGUGAAACCAAGAGUUGUUUUUACAACUAUCUCAA